AUGGGCUGGUCAGUCGUACCAUUUCUCCCCACGACCAACUGGUCUUAUGACUUGGCCAAUAUCAUUGAACAUCUAGAGCUACACGAUGCAGGGCUGGCCAAGAUCCUGAAGAAGUACGACAAGCGUACGGGGCGGCUGCUCCGGCUGCCCUUCAUCGAGGAGGUGCUCAAGCAGCCCUUCUACACCACGGAGCUCAUGUCGAGGCUGGUCCGCGAGUGCGAGGAGACCAUGGAGGCCGUGUUCGCCUCCGACAACAGUGGUGACCCAUGGACGAGGAAGCACUGCACCGACACUGAGUUGACUCCCAUGGCAACGGAGCAGGGUAUUUUAAGGAACACCGUCGCGACGCUGGUGGCCAUGAGGGAGCUCCGCAGUGGGAGCUGGACGUACGGACACUUCUCGCUGCCACCCUUGGAAACGGAGACCACCUUGACGGAGCAUGUGUCCAUCCAGGUUGCCGAUCUCGUUCAAUCUGAGGCACGUGGUGUUGUUCCGGUGGUUUGA
Molecule: ribosomal RNA, 504 nt
Filed under: Triticum aestivum (bread wheat)
Lineage: Eukaryota; Viridiplantae; Streptophyta; Magnoliopsida; Poales; Poaceae
Description: partial small subunit ribosomal RNA
Source: RNAcentral